AUGCUUGUGGCCCUCAGCGCGGCGCAAUGGGUGGUGGGCAAGGCGCUGGCCCCCAUUGCCGAUGGCUUGCUGGAGGCUUGGGGUGCUACCGAGAACUUGGGUCCCAACAUCGAGGCCCUUAGGAUGGAACUGCUGCUCGUGAAGGCCACGCUUGAACUCACCGGCGGCAAGCAGAUCCAAGGCCAGGCUAUGGAGGAGUUGUUGGGGAAGCUGCAGCACUCGGCGCACUGUGCCGAGGACUUGUUGGACGAGCUGGACUACUUCCGCAUCCACGACGAUCUCCAUGGCAUGUAUGACGCUGCAGAUCAUGCCAAGGGUUGCGUCCAUGAUUUUUGCCUCAAUGCUCGCCACACUGCCAAAACUGUUGGCAAACUGGUUGGUUUAUCCACGAGCCCUGCAUGUGAUCCUGGAGAAGUACAAGCGGCAAGACAACGGGUCAGCUGUUGCGUUUGGCCUCAUGGUAGGCAGAGGUCAUGCAGCAAUUCCUCCUUGGCGCCAAAUGCCAAUCAGGAGGUCAGUGGAUGCAUGCCCAAGCUCGGUAAACUCCUCCUUUGCUCAUCUUCCCCACAUAAGGAAACACCAGUACUGGGGUUUAAUAGGGUUGAUGUCUCUGAAAGAAUGAAGUGCAUUGUUGAGCAACUGCAGCCUGUGCGUACAGAGGUUACCAAGAUUCUGCAGAGUUGUGACCGUAUGACUGUCCCUGAUAUUUCAGUGAGCCGUCCCAUUACCACUGGCCAAAGUACGGAGCAGAAAUUGUAUGGGAGGGACCAUAUCAUGCAUACCAUCAUACAUUAUAUGACCAAGGGUAAAUACUGCAGCAAGGAUCUAACCGUGCUUCCGAUUGUCGGUCCAGGGGGGAUAGGGAAGACAACACUGGUACAAUACAUAUAUAGAAACCAACAAGUUCAAAAUCAUUUUCAAGUCCUUAUUUGGGUAUGUGUGUCACUCAGUCUCAAUUUGAGUAAGCUGCUAGAUGAGAUUAACACAUAUAUCCCUCGGGAUGAAGGGGAAAAAGUUGGCAAAGUCGAAGAGCUGAUUGAACAGAGAUUAAAAUCCAAAAGGUUUUUGCUUGUACUGGAUGAUGUAUGGGAGUUCAAUAAUGGGGAUGACUGGAAAAGGUUAUUGCUGCCAUUCAAAGCAUCGCAAGAAAAAGGUAGCAUGAUUCUACUCACGACGCGGUUUCCAGCAAUAGCAAAUAUGGGUAAAACAGCUGAUUAUAUAGAACUGGAAGGAUUAAAAUCCAAAGAAUUUAGGAAGUUGUUUCUUUCGUUUGUGUUUGUUGAUGAGCCCUUUACAAGUGAUCAUAGUUUUUUGCUUGAGACCGGAGAUAAGAUAAUGGAAAAACUAAAGGGCUCUCCUCUUGCUGAAAAAACUGUUGGUGCAUUAUUGAGAAAAAACCUUAAUUUGCGUCACUGGAGAAGAGUCUUAGAAAGUAAAGAAUGGGAGAGACAAACCGGUGUCAAUGACAUUAUGUCUGCCUUGAAGCUUAGCUAUUACUAUCUUCCUUUCCAUCAGCGACAAUGUUUCUCCUAUUCUGCAUUGUUUCCUGAAGAUUACAAGUAUAGUAGUACUGAGCUAAUCAACUUGUGGAUAGGACUAGAUAUUUUACAACCUUGUGGUCAAAAUCAAACAUUGGAAGAUAUAGGUCUGAGCAAUUUAAAUGAUCUGGUCACAUAUGGAUUUUUCAAAGAAGAGAAAACUAAUGGUCGUCUGCGUUAUGUAAUGCAUGACCUGCUACAUGAUUUAGCAUUGCACAUGGGAUCUCAUGAAUACAUUAGUUUACAUCGGUCUAAUGUGGGAUCAGUGCAGAUUAAGCCAUCCAUACGUCACUUGUCUAUAAUCAUAGAUGAUGAUGAUACACUAUCUCAAGAGAACUUUAAGGGACAAUUGAGAAAACUGAAGACGAUAUUGAAGGUUAAGCAAUUGCAUAGUUUGAUGUUAUUUGGAGAAAUGGAUGAGAGCUUUGCCAGCAUUUUGAGUGAUUUGUUUAUGGAAGCAAAUGGUCUUCGUGUUCUCCGUCUGGUUAACAUGCCAACUUCUGUGGAGUUCAUGUUACACAACUUUUCAGCACUUGUCCACCUACGAUACUUAUGUCUGGGUACAAAAAAGUAUGGGAAGGAGAUGCAAUUACCACUUGCCAUUUCCAGAUUUUAUCAUUUAAGGGUUCUGGAUCUGGGAUCAUGGUAUGGCUGUCAUGAUUUGCCCAGAGACUUGAGCAAGCUUGCAAAGUUGUGUCGUUUUUAUACCCCGAGUGAUGAGCUUCAUUCUAAUAUUUAUAAUGUGGGGAAACUCAGACUCUUAGAAGAGUUGAAAGUAUUUAGAGUCAAUAAAGAAAGGGAAGGAUUUGAAACAAAGCAACUAGAGCAUUUAACCGAACUGAGGGAGCUUGGCAUCUAUAACCUUGAGAAUAUACACACGAAAGAAGAAGCAACCAAAGCAAAGCUGAUAGAGAAAAACUACUUGGAGAGGUUAACAUUAGAUUGGGACAGUAAGCGGUCUAAUAGCAAGCCUUGUGUGGAAGCAGUUGUCAUUGAAAGCCUUCAACCACAUAGAUAUGUUCAAGAGUUGUGCAUUAGAGGGCACGGAGGCUCUUCUUGUCCAACAUGGCUAGGUGAUAAGCUGGUUGAAGCUCUUCAAUCUCUUCAGCUCGUUGGUGUUUCCUGGCACUGUCUGCCUUCUUUAGGGAAGAUGUGGGGCCUUGAUAAAGUAAUAUUGAAGCAUAUUGCCACGGUGAAAGAGUUCGUUAUAGAGCAGAGCUUUAUCAGGCUAAUAAGGAUUGAACUUGUUGGCUUGGGAAGUUUUGAAAAAUGGAUACCAUCACAGGCCACUCAUCAUAUGUUUCCUCUUUUGUAA
Molecule: ribosomal RNA, 2853 nt
Filed under: Triticum aestivum (bread wheat)
Lineage: Eukaryota; Viridiplantae; Streptophyta; Magnoliopsida; Poales; Poaceae
Description: partial small subunit ribosomal RNA
Source: RNAcentral